CAAGCUUAUACACAGUAACAAGUGGUUUUUUUUCUUGUGUAUUUAAUAUGAAAGCACUUGUUUAUAUUGUGACAUGAGAGCGUAGGCUAUCAUUCCAAUCAAUGGUUUUCAGAUCCCCUAUUAUAGACACAAAAUUGUUAAGUUUAGUGUUACCUCUCGUUCGCAAAAAAGAUAUUUUAGAAUAUUCAAUAAUUAACAAUAAACUAGGAUGAUUCGCGUAUAUUUUAAUUAACGAGUCGGAGGGGGCUGAUACAUUAAUAAUAGACAUAUUACAUAAUACUAAAUCUAAGAAACGAUCAUCGCUAUUACCUAUACUAUUAAAUUGCUUUAGGCUAUUCAUAGACAUAAAGUCAAUCAAGGCAAAGCCAAGUGUAUUGCUAUAUUUACAAGGUGUCAUAAAAACUUCAUUAUUUGGCGAUCUCCAAUGGAGGAGAAAACUGCCAAACUUUGCCACUAGUAGCGCUGGUAACGCUUGACCCAUAACAAAUGCAAACAAACGUCAAAUCCCAAACUUUAUUAUUAUAACACAAGAUAAAACAUUAUUUUUCUCCAAACAUGCCUCGCUGUGCAGCAAUCGGUUGUAAUAAUAAUGGAAAUCACAGUUUCCCUAAUGAUUUACGCAUAAGAAGACUCUGGGAAAAAGCUCUGAAAAAACUUAAUUUCAAAGCUACAAACUUUUCGAGGUUAUGUUCGGAACAUUUUAUUGAAUCCGAUUAUGAAGGCAUCAGCUGUUCUACAGGUUUACUUCAACUUCAUAGAUAUUUGAAAAAGACUGCAAUCCCAACUGUUUUCGCUUGGAAGAAACCCACUACCACAGCAAGUAUCGCAAGGGAACAAAGAUAUUUGAAACGUGAUUGUAGAAAAACACUGGUUUUCCCAUCAACAUCUGCAACAGAGAUUGACAUUAAUAUUCCUUCUAUACCUGAAGAUACCAUUGAAGUUUCGUCUCAGGUUCCUGUCUUUCAAGUUGAAGUUGAACUGAUGACCAGUCCAGCCCAGGAAAUCAGGGUAGCCCCAUCUCGAUCCGCUCCAAAUAGAGUAUCAACUCAAACUCCACAUUUAUUUAGAUUCUUUUCCUCGGAUGAUAUGUUAUCAGAUGCCAGAUCAGUUUUGUUUUAUACAGGUUUAGAGGAAGUUUCUAAAUUUAAUUUGGUGUUCUCUACGUUAUUACCAAUGGCAUAUCAUUUCAUCAGUGUAAUUGAUCAAUUUCGAUGUUAGUUAAACUAAGAAGAAAUAAACCUGAUUUUGAGAUGGCAAAUUUUUUUGGUAUAAGUACUACUGCUGUAGGGAACAUAUUUUACAUGGGUAAAUUUUGUAUAUGAAUUGUGGAAAAAUAUAGAUAUUUGGCCUAGUCGCUCACUGGUUGAUUAUUAUAUGCCAGAUUCAUUUAAGCAACAUCAUCCAGCUACCAGAGUGAUAAUAAUAGAUGGGACAGAAAUACCUAUAACAAAACCAAAAAACCCUACAGCGCAACAAGCAACUUUUAGUAGCUACAAACACCACAACACCAUAAAAUUCUUGGUGGGUGCUACACCUGGUGGCCUGAUAUCGUUUUGUUCAGAUGGAUAUGCAGGAUCUACCAGUGACCGCCAAAUAACGGAAAGAAGUUCCCUUUUAGCUGUUAUUGAUGAAAAAGAUGCAAUUAUGGCUGACCGUGGAUUCAAUGUGCAAGAUCUAUUUGAACAAAAAGAUGUUGCCAUUUAUACACCAACAUUUUUGAAGGGUCUAUCACAAAGUACUUGGUGUAAAAUUAAAACAUGAUAUACAAUUAGCAAAAAAUCGUAUACAUAUUGAACGUCUUAUUGGGCUAACAAAAACAUUUAAAAUAUUAAAAGGUGAUGUGAAUUCUUUUUAUGUGCCAUUAUUAUCAAGAAUAUUUUUUAUUUGUGUUAUGCUAUGAAAUUUUAAAGAAGGAAUUGUGAAAUAAAAGUCCAAAGUAA
This is a long non-coding RNA of Pieris napi, 1940 nucleotides long. RefSeq lists it as uncharacterized. The transcript has 2 exons. The record is from RefSeq and is a predicted model, not a curated record. Lineage: Eukaryota; Metazoa; Arthropoda; Insecta; Lepidoptera; Pieridae.